This 514-nucleotide ribosomal RNA is filed under the name uncultured bacterium. RNAcentral describes it as "bacterial SSU rRNA". It matches the Rfam family "Bacterial small subunit ribosomal RNA", at positions 15 to 518 of the family's 1533-position model. The record is from RNAcentral.
GAUCAUGGCUCAGAACGAACGCUGGCGGCGCGCUUAAGCAUGCAAGUCGAACGGCAAGAGGUAGCAAUACCUCCUAGAGUGGCGGACUGGUGAGUAACACGUGGGUGACAUACCCUUCAGAUGGGGAUAGCUAUUAGAAAUAGUAGAUAAUACCGAAUACGAGCACAGGGGUUAGAGAUCUGUGAGGAAAGGAGCUAAGGCUCCGCUGAAGGAAUGGCCUGCGGCCCAUUAGCUAGUUGGUGAGGUAAGAGCCCACCAAGGCGAUGAUGGGUAUCCGGCCUUAGAGGGUGAACGGACACAUUGGGACUGAGAUACGGCCCAGACUCCUACGGGAGGCAGCAGCUAAGAAUAUUCCGCAAUGGACGAAAGUCUGACGGAGCGACGCCGCCGUGGAUGAAGAAGGCCGGAAGGUUGUAAAAUCCUUUUGAAACUGAAGAAUAAGCGUUGUAGGGAAUGACAGCGUGGUGACAGUAGGUUUUGAAUAAGCAACGGCUAAUUACGUGCCAGCCGCCGC